Molecule: unclassified non-coding RNA, 378 nt
Filed under: uncultured Ascomycota
Lineage: Eukaryota; Fungi; Ascomycota
Description: sequence contains ITS1
Rfam family: 5.8S ribosomal RNA (bases 1-105)
Source: RNAcentral
AAAAUGCGAUAAGUAAUGUGAAUUGCAGAAUUCCGUGAAUCAUCAAAUCUUUGAACGCACAUUGCGCCUUCUGGUAAUCCGGGAGGCAUGCCUGUCUGAGCGUCAUUACACCAUUCAAACCUAUGCUUUUUGGCUACUGGUUUGGUUUUGGAAGGUUUUAGACCCGUGUCGAUCUUAGAUCGAAAAAGGGGUCUUCUUCUGUAAUGUAUUGACGAAAUGCCUACUGUCUUUCUUAGUUGUAGCAAAGAAAUUACUUCUCUCUCAACUUCAAGAUAAAACAAUAGGAUUGUCCUAGCUUUUUGAACUUCUUUUCGGUUACGAAAAGAAUUCUCUUACAAGUUUGACCUCAGAUCAGGUAGGAAUACCCGCUGAACUUAA